Molecule: unclassified non-coding RNA, 183 nt
Filed under: uncultured Herpotrichiellaceae
Lineage: Eukaryota; Fungi; Ascomycota; Eurotiomycetes; Chaetothyriales; Herpotrichiellaceae
Description: sequence contains ITS1
Source: RNAcentral
ACGAGUUAGGGUCUCAGGCCCGACCUCCCAACCCUGUGUUUACUGAACCACUGUUGCUUCGGCGGGCCCGUCUCACGACCGCCGGGGGGUGUUCUACGCCCUCUGGCCCGUUGUCCGCCGACGGCCAACACCUCAAAAUUCUUGAAAUGCAUGACAUUCUGAGUCUCUAUGAAAUAAAGCAAA